RNAcentral lists this small nuclear RNA (35 nucleotides) under Cervus elaphus hippelaphus. The record is from RNAcentral. Lineage: Eukaryota; Metazoa; Chordata; Mammalia; Artiodactyla; Cervidae.
AUUGCUUCUUGGCCUUUAGGCUAAGACCAAGUGUA